Molecule: ribosomal RNA, 496 nt
Filed under: uncultured bacterium
Lineage: Bacteria
Description: partial 16S ribosomal RNA
Rfam family: Bacterial small subunit ribosomal RNA
Source: RNAcentral
AUGAACGCUGGCGGCGUGCCUCAUACCUGCAAGUCGCGCGAACGGACGAGAAGCUUGCUUUUCUGAUGUUAGCGGCGGACGGGUGAGUAACACGUGGAUAACCUACCUAUAAGACUGGGAUAACUUCGGGAAACCGGAGCUAAUACCGGAUAAUAUUUUGAACCGCAUGGUUCAAAAGUGAAAGACGGUCUUGCUGUCACUUAUAGAUGGAUCCGCGCUGCAUUAGCUAGUUGGUAAGGUAACGGCUUACCAAGGCAACGAUGCAUAGCCGACCUGAGAGGGUGAUCGGCCACACUGGAACUGAGACACGGUCCAGACUCCUACGGGAGGCAGCAGUAGGGAAUCUUCCGCAAUGGGCGAAAGCCUGACGGAGCAACGCCGCGUGAGUGAUGAAGGUCUUCGGAUCGUAAAACUCUGUUAUUAGGGAAGAACAUAUGUGUAAGUAACUGUGCACAUCUUGACGGUACCUAAUCAGAAAGCCACGGCUAACUACGUG